This is a long non-coding RNA of Daucus carota subsp. sativus, 180 nucleotides long. RefSeq lists it as uncharacterized. The record is from RefSeq and is a predicted model, not a curated record. Lineage: Eukaryota; Viridiplantae; Streptophyta; Magnoliopsida; Apiales; Apiaceae. The transcript is spliced from 2 exons.
CAGUGAACACAUGUGUUUUUUGAUGACCAAAUAUCCGGAAAAUGAAAAUAAUGAAAUGUGGCUAAAGAAUAAGCAAAAUGAGACAUUCCCAGAAUGGUUCAAAGAAAAGAUUGCUUCAAAUUUUCUCGACGAAAUGGAGAUAUCACAAGAAAUCAGAUGGAUCGCAGAUGGGCCCAAUAA